This 651-nucleotide long non-coding RNA is filed under the name Gallus gallus (chicken). Lineage: Eukaryota; Metazoa; Chordata; Aves; Galliformes; Phasianidae. The record is from RNAcentral.
AGAAAAGAUGCUUUGGAGGCAGAGUGGCUAAGGGAAAGAUGAGAGAAUACUGAAUAUGAGGGCAGGUUUCCAGGAAAGAGAAGCACAGAGUGGAAAAGGCUGUUGUAAGUAGAAGGAAGAUUUCAGCUGAAAGUCGAAGAAAGCCAAAGAUAGAAGGAGAAAUACCGUGAGAAAAAAUAAACCUGUAGUUUUCAAGCCAAGUGCGAUACAAGAGACUGAGGAUCCUUCUGCCUCAGAAGCAAAAUUGAACCUACAGAGAAGUCCUCUUGUUUUUAAUCCAGUCAACACCACGAUAUUCAAAUUGAAAAAAUGUUGAUUUUGUGUCUCGUACUCAGCAGAAAAGAAGCAUGCAUGAGAAGGGACAAAACAAAAAACCUCUGCAUUUAUUAACCUCCAAGUCUUUAAGAGAAUAAAGGUAUUAUUUAAAAAUGCCUGUGUAUAAGUCUAUCCCCAGUGUCCAACAGUGUCCAACAGCUGCAAGGACCCAUUUCAAUCUGUUGAUGCACUUCAGCACACAGAAAUAUUUAUCCAUGCAAAAAUAAUAACAUCUUGCAGAAUUGGCCCAAUGUUUCUCCAUUAGGGUCAUGAACCCCUUGAAGGUCAUGAGAGCAUUCAAAAAGGUCACAAAGCUUUAGACAGCAGAAGUCAGCA